RNAcentral lists this ribosomal RNA (360 nucleotides) under uncultured bacterium. RNAcentral describes it as "bacterial SSU rRNA". It matches the Rfam family "Bacterial small subunit ribosomal RNA", at positions 102 to 497 of the family's 1533-position model. The record is from RNAcentral.
ACGGGUGCGUAACGCGUGGGAAUCUACCCAGAGGUUCGGAAUAACGGUUGGAAACGACUGCUAAUACCGGAUGAUGUCGAGAGACCAAAGAUUUAUCGCCUUUGGAUGAGCCCGCGUAAGAUUAGCUAGUUGGUGAGGUAAAGGCUCACCAAGGCUACGAUCUUUAGCUGGUCUGAGAGGAUGAUCAGCCACACUGGGACUGAGACACGGCCCAGACUCCUACGGGAGGCAGCAGUAGGGAAUAUUGGACAAUGGGGGCAACCCUGAUCCAGCAAUGCCGCGUGAGUGAUGAAGGCCUUAGGGUUGUAAAGCUCUUUUACCCGGGAUGAUAAUGACAGUACCGGGAGAAUAAGCUCCGGC